Ictidomys tridecemlineatus (thirteen-lined ground squirrel) is the source of this 3296-nucleotide non-coding RNA. The record is from RefSeq and is a predicted model, not a curated record. Lineage: Eukaryota; Metazoa; Chordata; Mammalia; Rodentia; Sciuridae.
CGGGUCCUCCCCCCGCCCUUUGUUCUCCAAGACCUGCCCAGCAAACCUUUUCUAGAAUUGCCCUACCACCCCGGGGCCAGCCAGGGGGCCUCCCUCGGAGCCACAGCCAGAGGACUGGGGACCUUCGGCCCCCGCCCGCCCGCUGCACCCUAAUCUGUGAAGUGCUAAACCAGCCCAGGGCUGGGACAGGUGAGCCGAGGACCUUGCGGGGCGCUGGCGAGCGGGGGAAACUGAGCGAUUCGCUGUGCUGCCCACGAGCACCCGGACCGCGCGGGCCUGAAGAGGGGGCGUGUCGCGAAGUGGCCUUGGCCUCUCCUUGCCCGGGGUCGGUCCCCUCUCCCCACGUCCACGCUUUUCUCCCAGCAUCCGGGAUCUGUGGGGUCUCCAGAGCACCCAGUCAUCGUCCCCUCCCCUAUAACCUCUCUCCCCACCCGCCCCUCGCGCAGCACCCAGAGGCGCAGGAAGCCGGCAAACGCCAGGCUCCACACGUGGCUGCUCCGGGGUGUCAUUUUUCAUUUCUCGGGAGGACAUUUCUUCUGGUGAGCCGGCAGGUCUAUUUUGUUGUGACCUUUAAUUAACACCCCGCGAGACACCUCCUGAGGGACCAGCCCAGCGCGGGGAUCACGUGAGGUGUAAUGGCAUCUCCAAGCCCCCGGGAGGGACCGGGUCUGGGGGUAGGCGAGGGAGCAAAGGACCUCUAGGGCUUUCCAGUCGGGGGCUUCGUUUUGAGAUAUGGGUGAGGCAGGAGGGGUCAGGAAGAGAAUAAUUAGGGGUACUGGAACUCUGGGCAACGCCCCCCACCCCACGUUCCUGGGGGGAGGAAUCUUUCUUGGCCUUUCUGGAGCUUGCCAUCCCCCCUACAUCCCCCGGGCUUGCAGCCUUUGCCUGGGAAUAUUUCACAGCUAACAAGGCGAGGUACGAAGGCCAAAAUAAAGAUGUUGAGAACAGUGUGGAAGUUUCCAUUGCGUUCCUACUUCCAAUUUAAAAGCGAUCAUAUCAGUAGAGGACCUUAGGGGGACAGGUACGCCUCCAGGCAGCACACGCCAGCUCCAGCCGAAUCUAUUCCGUAUAGGUGCAGCGGAAAAUAUCGACGCCAUUAGCUACGCGCUGCUUAUCAGCCGGAAAGCAGCGUGUGGCCAGGUGAAAUGGACGAGCCCGUGAAGACGAGGAUGGGAAGGUGGGGUGUCGAGGGGGAGCAACUGGGGAGCUGCGCGAUCCACCUUGGAGACUGAUGAGCCCGGAGCUUAUCUGAUUUGCAUCCCAAAGUAUCUGGGGCCCCAGAUUGUGUUUGAUGGGCUCGGAGCGCCCUCUGUUGAUAAAAGUCUAUAACUGGAGGCCCCUCAAGUGAUUUGAAGCGUUUAAAAAAUACACAGUGAAAUGCAAAAAAUUUAAACGCACAAUUCUGUGCGUUUUUAUAAAUGUAUAAAUGUUUUUAUAAAUUUUAUACUCUUUGUAUAAUCCACUACCCCAAUUAAAGUAUCAAUUUCCAUCACUCCAGAAAGUUCUUUCCUGCCUCUUUAGGCAGGCAGUCGGUCCCCACCCCUCAUAAGAAACCACUGUUCUGAUGUCUAUCACCAUAGAUUAGUUUUGACUGAUCUCGAAUAUUUUUGUACAUAGAACUCUUUUGUGUUUGGCUUAGCAUAGGUUUUCUUCAUUCCAUGUUGCCUUUUAUGGGUCUGUUUUCCAUUAUUCUGUUUCUCAUUCCUCCAUCUUUCCCACUCUCUCUUAUUAAUUGAAUAAUUUUUAGUAUUCCAAUAUCAUUCCUCUAUUAGGUUUUUAGUUCUAAUUAUUACAAUAUGCAUCUUAACUUAUUACAGGAUAAUUAGUGUUAAUAUUGUACCACUUCACCUAAAACAUAAGUUUGCAACAGUUCAAUUCCAUUUUCUCUCUCACCUUUAGGCUAAUAUUUGAAUAUAAUUUAUGUGUAUAUACAUUAUAAGAUCCUGUUUUAGCUAGCUUUUUUGAUGCUGAGACCAAAAUACCUAACAGGAACAAUAUAAAGAAGGGAAAAUUUAUUUGGUGAUGGGUCACAGUUUCAGAUGUCUCAGACCAUAGAUGGGCAACUCCAUAGCUCUGGCCCAAGGUGAUGCAGAACAUCAUGGACAAAGGGGAUGGCAGAGGAAAUGAGCUCAGGACAUUGUAAUCAGGAAGCACAGAGAGAUGGCUUUGCUCACCAAGAACAAAAUAUAAACCCCAAAGCCAUGCCCCAGUGACCUACCUCUGCCAGCCACACCCCACUUGCCUACAGUUACCUCCCAGUUAAUCCAUAUCAGUGGAUCAAUCCCCUGAUUAGGUUACAACUUUAAUACUCUAACCAUUUCACUACUAAAUGUUCUUGCAUUGGCUCAUACAUGAGCUUUUGGGGGACACCUCAUAUCUAAACCAUAACAGGCCCAUGAUACAAUUUUAUCAAUUUUACUUUAAACAAUCUGUUGUCUUUCCAUGAAACUAGAAAAAAUUCAGUGUUUUGUAUAUACCCAGUUUUUUAUAAUUUAUUUUUUUUAGUUGUAGAUGGACACAAUACCCUUAUUUUAUUUAUUUAUUCAUUUUUAUGUGAUGCUGAGAAUUGAAUCCAGGGCCUCGCAAGUGCUAGGUGAGUGCUCUACCGCUGAGCCACAACCCCAGGCCCUAUACCCAGUUUUAACAUUUCUGAGACUGUUCAUUUUUUUCUGUAUAGUGCCAAAUGUCCAACUAGAUUGUUUCCUGAAGAACUGCCUAAAGAAGUUCACAUAGCAUUUUUUUAUAGUGAGGGUUUCUUGGCAAUAUAUCCUUUCAGAUUCUGCUUAUCUGAAAAUGUCUUUAUUUCACUUUUGGGUUUGAGGAAUGGUUUAAUUAGAUGUAGGAUUCUUGGUUGGCAGUUAUUUUUCUGUCAGCCCUUUAAGAAUGUCAUUCAUUGUCAUUCCAUGCUUCUAAUUAAAGGUAAGCAGUAAUUCUUAUGGACAUUCCCCUGCAUGUAUUGCAUCCUUUUUUUCCCCCUCUGGGUGCCUUGAAGAUUUUCUCUUUAUCUUUGGUUUUCAGAAAUUUGACUGAUGUUUCUGGAUAUGAUUUUCUACAUUUAUCCUGCUUAGGGUCUGCUUAAUUUCUAGGACCUAUAAGUUGAUUGUGCUAGAGAUAGAACCCAGGACCAAGUGCACUACCACUGAACUACAUCCCUGGCCCUAAUUCUAAUGCUUGUCUGAAUUCCAACAUUUGACUCAUUUGGGAACCACUUUCAAAAUGAUUUUUCUCUUUGACUCUGAAUCACAUUUUCCUGUUUUCUUUUUUUCAUAGCCAAUAAACUUUAACUGUAUACUGAA